AUGAAAUUUUUAACGAAGAUUUUUUGGAUUCUGAACUACUGUUUUUUUACUAGAUCCUGUUGGACAUGGCAUAUUACAAGUUUCAAAAGGCUCUUUAAAUUAUUGUAGCAGGCUGAAGCUAUUAAAUUGUAAUGUCAGAGCUUUAUAGAUGAAACAGGUGUGGGAGAUCAAGAUUUGGCCACCCUGAAAUCUCUCUCUUUACCUUGGUUGUUUUCUCUAGGGACAUUUGACCUCCCCCACUAACUGCCUAAAGAAUUUGAGACGGUAGCUCCUUCCUGGAACAGAUCUAUCAUGAUGGCUGUAAAGAUAACGUAGGGUAAAUGUUACAACAGGAAAGGCACCAACAAGCCCCUCUUAUCAGAAGUUCUGUCUCUCUGGCCACAUUCUCUGGAUGACCCUGUGAAGAGUUGCCAGACAAUCAUUUACAUUUAUAAGGGAAAUCUCCAUUUGUGAAGGUAUCUCCCUCUCUGUUUGGAGAAGAGAGGGGGAUGAGCUCAUUUCUAGUGACUUAUCACUGUGGAAGGUGAGGCCUUGAGCUACAUAAUAAACCUUACUCUUGUUUACUGUGCUUUAGAGGUAAUCUCCUGUAACUGACUCCCCCCACCCCCAACAUCCUCCUUUGUCGUUGGUUGAACUUGGUAUUUAAGACGAGAAUUUCUGCUAUUGUGUUGAGAAACGCAGUGUCCCUGCUUUCUCCCAUGUAUACAUGUUAUUAAACUUGGUAUUAUUUUCUCCUGCUAACCUGUCUUGUUAAUUAUUUGGCCAGCCAGAAGAACCUUAAGGGAAAGGGCAGAGGGAGAUUCUCCCCCUUCCCCCGACAGUUUUGGCGUAGUCGCCAGGAGCCACACUGGCUGGCAAGUUGCCUUCUCUGGCUGGAAGACCUGCCUUCUCCCUGGACUACUGCAGAUGAUGAGAUCCGGGAACGCCUGAUGAAAGCCGGCAAAAAGGACACAAUUGGAAACACUGGGUCUAUUACCAAGGUUGUGACUGGAACAUCAUAUUUGCAAUAUAACCAUACAGCUUUUGAGGAAUGAAGAUUGGACUUUAUGGAAUAAAGCCACGUGGAAAUAUUGGCCUGGUACCUUUAUGUUCCAAGCAGCACUUACCAGGAUAAGUAAAGAAUGUCACUUAUCUGGCAGGUACAAGGAACCUCGAAAUAUUUUGGGGGAACCUCGGAAGAGAGAAAUUCACCCAAAUCUCUAGGUAUUGCAGGCAAAGUCUGAUGACAAAAUCCUUGGCUUGGCUUUCCUGGCCUCGAGAGGCUUUUGAAGUUCAACCUGAGAUUCCUUAUAAAAAGUUCCAGCAAAGCAGACUUAAAAGAGCCUAUGUAAUCAAUUGCUAUUCUUGCCGUACUUAUGUAAAUAAUUGGGCCAACUCUAUUAGAACUAGACUUAUUUAGCAAACUAGUUAGUUUUAAUUUGGCUAUCUUAACGAAAAUGAGGGUGAUUUUAGAGAGAAAAAAAUUAUAUUUCAGUAAAAACUAUUUCAGUAUAAAUUUGCGGAUAUUAGAUCCUAGUUUUGUUAAUUGUCUUUUGAGGUUUUGUUUUAUAUCUGUUGACGGGACUGGAUCCUGAUUUCUUCUAGUCUCCUAAAAUAUCUGGCUACAGAUGUCCAAACUAACGUUUUUGAUUUUUUCCAUCAUUUUCAUUUGAAAUCACUGAAAACUGAAUCUGCCCUUUUGCCUGAAGCCUUACAAACUGAAGCUGAUGGACUUGAUACAAACUUAAGAGAUUACUUGAUGACAUCAUCAGAGACAUUUUAAACUGCAAAAGAUGCUUUGACGCUGACAUCUAAAAUUCUUCACUGGCUGUCCUCUGAACUCAAAAACUGCUUUACAACUUGCUCUAACCAUUAACCUUGUUUUUCUUUUGUUUACAUAGAAAUGCUUCUAUUAAAUACUUGAUUGCUUGCUUCCAUAAUAUAGGCGUAACCUUGAGAGCCCA
This is a long non-coding RNA of Diceros bicornis minor, 1943 nucleotides long. RefSeq lists it as uncharacterized. The transcript is spliced from 2 exons. Lineage: Eukaryota; Metazoa; Chordata; Mammalia; Perissodactyla; Rhinocerotidae. The record is from RefSeq and is a predicted model, not a curated record.